AGCGGAGGAAAAGAAACUAACAAGGAUUCCCCUAGUAACGGCGAGUGAAGCGGGAAGAGCUCAAAUUUGAAAUCUGGUAGCCUUCGGUUGCCCGAGUUGUAAUCUAGAGAAGUGUUUUCCGUGCCGGCCCAUGUACAAGUCCCUUGGAACAGGGCGUCAUAGAGGGUGAGAAUCCCGUCCUUGACAUGGACCCCCGGUGCUCUGUGAUACACUUUCAACGAGUCGAGUUGUUUGGGAAUGCAGCUCAAAAUGGGUGGUGAAUUCCAUCUAAAGCUAAAUAUUGGCGAGAGACCGAUAGCGAACAAGUACCGUGAGGGAAAGAUGAAAAGCACUUUGGAAAGAGAGUUAAACAGUACGUGAAAUUGUUGAAAGGGAAACGAUUGAAGUCAGUCAUGCUCUUUGGUAUUUAUAUCAUUGAGUGGGGUCAACAUCAGUUUUGAUCGAUGGAUAAAGGCACUAGGAAGGUAGCACUCUCGGGUGAACUUAUAGCCUAGCGUCAUAUACAUUGAUUGGGACUGAGGAACGCAGCAUGCCUUUAUGGCCGGGAUUCGUCCACGUACAUGCUUAGGAUGU
RNAcentral lists this ribosomal RNA (573 nucleotides) under Naganishia sp. RNAcentral describes it as "LSU rRNA". It matches the Rfam family "Eukaryotic large subunit ribosomal RNA", at positions 49 to 626 of the family's 3401-position model. Lineage: Eukaryota; Fungi; Basidiomycota; Tremellomycetes; Filobasidiales; Filobasidiaceae. The record is from RNAcentral.